This 75-nucleotide transfer RNA is filed under the name Candidatus Omnitrophota bacterium. RNAcentral describes it as "tRNA-Thr". It matches the Rfam family "tRNA". Rfam says of the family: Transfer RNA (tRNA) molecules are approximately 80 nucleotides in length. The record is from RNAcentral. Lineage: Bacteria; Pseudomonadati; Candidatus Omnitrophota.
GCCAACCUAGCUCAAUGGCGGAGCAGCGGUUUCGUAAACCGCAGGUUGUGGGUUCGACUCCCACGGUUGGCUCCA